RNAcentral lists this long non-coding RNA (1646 nucleotides) under Calidris pugnax (ruff). RNAcentral's name for it is "lncRNA (ENSCPUG00000016225.1)". Lineage: Eukaryota; Metazoa; Chordata; Aves; Charadriiformes; Scolopacidae. The record is from RNAcentral.
GACAAAAUUUGGGAUGAAUUUCCGCUUAAACGGCGCAGAACAUGCCUUUCCGUCACCGACCGGGAUGGAGGAGGGACGGCCCCGGCCCCUCGGUGGGUUUGGGGCUCUUUCGGGGGAUUUUGGGAGCGGUUGGGGAUGGGAAUCACCUAAAUGUUGGGAAAAUGUCCCUUGAGGGAUGCUCCGUGCAAGGAGAGGGGUGUCAAUGUCAUCCCAACGUCAUCCCAACGUCAAUGUCAUCCCAACGUCAACGUCAGCCCAACGUCAACUCAAUGUCAGCCCAACAUCACCCCAAUGUCAUCCCAAUGUCAACUCAACAUCUACCCAAUGUUAUCCCAACAUCAACUCAGUGUCAGUCCAACAUCAACUCAAUGUCUACCCAAUGUUAUCCCAACAUCAACUCAACGUCAGCCCAACGUCAACCCAAUGUUAUCCCAACAUCAACUCAACGUCAGCCCAACGUCAACUCAACAUCAGCCCAACAUCAACCCAACGUCAACUCAACGUCUACCCAAUGUUAUCCCAACGUCAACUCAACGUCAGCCCAACGUCAACUCAAUGUCAGCCCAAUGUCAACCCAAUGUCAUCCCAACGUCAACUCAACAUCUACCCAAUGUUAUCCCAACAUCAUCCCAAUGUCAGCCCAAUGUCAACCCAACGUCAAUGUCAACCCAACGUCAACGUCAGCCCAACGUCAGCCCAAUGUCAACUCAACGUCAGCAUCAACUCAACGUCAGCCCAACAUCAUUCCAACAUCAACUGAACGUCAGGCCAACGUCAACUCAACGUCAACUCAACAUCAGCCCAACGUCUACCCAAUGUUAUCCCAACAUCAACAUCAGCCCAACGUCAACCCAACGUCAACUCAACAUCAGCCCAACAUCAACCCAACGUCAACUCAACGUCAUCCCAACGUCAAUGUCAACCCAACAUCAACAUCAGUCCAACGUCAGCCCAAUAUCAACUCAACGUCAGCCCAACGUCAUUCCAACAUCAACUCAACGUCAGGCGAACGUCAACUCAACAUCAGCCCAACAUCAACCCAACGUCAACUCAACGUCAGCCCGAUGUCAACCCAAUGUCAUCCCAAUGUCAACUCAACAUCUACCCAAUGUUAUCCCAACAUCAUCCCAACGUCAGCCCAAUGUCAACCCAAUGUCAACCCAAUGUCAUCCCAACGUCAAUAUCAACCCAACGUCAACAUCAGCCCAAUGUCAACUCAACGUCAGCCCAACAUCAACCCAAUGUCAACUCAAUGUCAGCCCAACGUCAACUCAAUGUCAUCCCAACGUCAACUCAACAUCUACCCAAUGUUAUCCCAACAUCAACUCAACGUCAGCCCAACAUCAACCCAACGUCAACUCAACGUCAGGCAAACGUCAACACAACAUCAACCCAACGUCAACUCAACGUCUACCCAAUGUUAUCCCAACAUCAACUCAACGUCAGCCCAACAUCAACCCAACGUCAACCCAAUGUUAUCCCAACAUCAACUCAACAUCAUCCUAACGAACCACCGUCCAUCCCUUUUUUUGACUUUUUUGGGGGGUGAAACAUGCAGAAGGGAGGAGGGAAUUGAUGCCCAAGCCCCGACCACCCUCCCUACAGCGAAGCUUAGGAGUGGAGAAUUAUUUCCUAAAUCCCCUUAG